RNAcentral lists this transfer RNA (85 nucleotides) under Bacillota bacterium. Its description in RNAcentral is "Firmicutes bacterium (anaerobic digester metagenome) tRNA-Leu". It matches the Rfam family "tRNA". Rfam says of the family: Transfer RNA (tRNA) molecules are approximately 80 nucleotides in length. The record is from RNAcentral. Lineage: Bacteria; Bacillati; Bacillota.
GCGAGAGUGGCGGAACUGGCAGACGCGCACGUUUGAGGGGCGUGUGACGAACGUCGUGUGGGUUCAAGUCCCACCUCUCGCACCA